This 357-nucleotide RNase P RNA is filed under the name human gut metagenome. RNAcentral describes it as "Bacterial RNase P class A". It matches the Rfam family "Bacterial RNase P class A". Rfam says of the family: Ribonuclease P (RNase P) is a ubiquitous endoribonuclease, found in archaea, bacteria and eukarya as well as chloroplasts and mitochondria. The record is from RNAcentral.
AGAUGGCCGGAUGGUUGCGGCGGGUGAAACACCUGUCGAGGAAAGUCCGGGCUUCACGGGAACACGGUACCGGAUAACGUCCGGCGGGGGCGACCCCAGGGAAAGUGCAACAGAAAGCAAACCGCCAAAGCCGUUGCAGGCCGGCAAGGAUGAAAGGGUGCGGUAAGAGCGCACCGCUUUCCCGGCAACGGGAAAGGCACGGAAAACCCUACCGGAAGCAAGACCAAAUCAGGUGCGCGGAAACGCGAAAGGGGACGUUCCCGUCCCUCGCCGCAGGUAGGUCGCUACAGACGUUCGGCAACGGGCGCCGCAGAAGAAUAACCAUCGAUUACAGAACCCGGCUUACAGGCUGUCUGG